CACACGCACACACACGGUCUUCCUGGUUUUGAAAGAAAGCUUUUAGUCAGACCUUCAGUUAGAUCUAUUUCGACCUCACUCAGACCGUCACCACGGUCUUUACCUUGAAUGAUGUCCUCAUCUCCCUAUCCUCGAGACCAUAUAUCAACAAUGUCACGUGAGUGACCAUAGGGGGCUGGGCUCGCCGCCCAUAAAGCUCCCCGGUGAGCGCGGCCGCCUCCUCUUUGCUUCACUCGCCUCAUCCGAGACCGGCGGGCAGCUUAAUUUGCUGCACCUGGUACUAACUACUCUUGCUUGCACCUUCUGGUGUACAGUAUGUGGAUCUGCAGCUGUGUGUGUGUGUGUGUGUGUGUGUGUGUGUGUGUGUGUGUGUGUGUGUGUGUGUGUGUGUGUGUGUGUGUGUGUGUGUGUGGGUGUGUGGGUGUGUGGGGCUUUGAAGGUGAGAUGCAGCACUCUACCUGGUCCAGCCAGCUGACCCCUGGAUACCUCCCAGAAUGAAUCUGCUCCUCCAGCCACGGCCUCAGCCUCAGCCGGCCUGGUUGCUGCAUGCUGCGGUCCGAGCGUCAGGUGUGCAAGAGGAGCUGUUCAGUGCAGGCGCGUCACCAGCUUCACGAGACUUUCAGCAGUGACAGAAAAUUUCAAUGGAGCUCAGAUUAAAUCAGAGGUUACUCUGGGACACCAUUGCUCCUCCCCUGGAUUCUUCCAAUCAAAAACCUUCUUCACUGCUUAAGUGGCCUCUCCAAUUACAGGAAAUACAGUAAAUACUGUAUCUUGUUCUCAUGUGAGUGUAAAAGUGCAUAAAACUAUGAGCACUUUUUCACAGUUCUUCAAAAUAAAACAUGCGGUAAAUCAAAUGUACAAUAUAUCUGUAUUUGGUUUAAAUACAGGUCCAGUUUAAUUAAAGGUCCAGUGUGUAAGAUUUAGGUGAAAGAGA
Hippoglossus stenolepis (Pacific halibut) is the source of this 934-nucleotide long non-coding RNA. RefSeq lists it as uncharacterized. Lineage: Eukaryota; Metazoa; Chordata; Actinopteri; Pleuronectiformes; Pleuronectidae. The record is from RefSeq and is a predicted model, not a curated record. The transcript is spliced from 3 exons.